Molecule: ribosomal RNA, 468 nt
Filed under: uncultured bacterium
Lineage: Bacteria
Description: partial 16S ribosomal RNA
Rfam family: Bacterial small subunit ribosomal RNA
Source: RNAcentral
GACGAACGCUGGCGGCGUGCUUAACACAUGCAAGUCGAACGGAAAGGCCCUGCUUUUGUGGGGUGCUCGAGUGGCGAACGGGUGAGUAACACGUGAGUAACCUGCCCUUGACUUUGGGAUAACUUCAGGAAACUGGGGCUAAUACCGGAUAGGAGCUCCUGCUGCAUGGUGGGGGUUGGAAAGUUUCGGCGGUUGGGGAUGGACUCGCGGCUUAUCGGCUUGUUGGUGGGGUAGUGGCUUACCAAGGCUUUGACGGGUAGGCGGCCUGAGAGGGUGGCCGGCGACAUUGGGACUGAGGUACGGACCAGACUGGUACGGGGGGCAGCAGUGGGGAAUAUUGCACAAUGGGCGGAAGCCUGAUGCGGCAACGCCGCGGGCGGGAUGACGGCCUUCGGGUUGUAAACCGCUUUCGCCUGUGACGAAGCGUGAGUGACGGUAAUGGGUAAAGAAGCACCGGCUAACUACGUG